AUUGAACGCUGGCGGCAGGCCUAACACAUGCAAGUCGAACGAGUGGCGGACGGGUGAGUAAUGUCUGGGACACUGCCCGAUGGAGGGGGAUCACUACUGGAAACGGUAGCUCAUACCGCAUACUAUCGGAUGUGCACAGAUGGGAUUAGCUAGUAGGUGGGGUAACGGCUCACCUAGGCGACGAUCCCUAGCUGGUCUGAGAGGAUGACCAGCCACACUGGAACUGAGACACGGCCCAUACUCCUACGGGAGGCAGCAGUGGGGAAUAUUGCACAAUGGGCGCAAGCCUGAUGCAGCCAUGCCGCGUGUAUGAAGAAGGCCUUCGGGUUGUAAAGUACUUUCAGCGGGGAGGCGUUACCCGCAGAAGAAGCACCGGCUAACUCCGUGCCAGCAGCCGCGGUAAGUC
Molecule: ribosomal RNA, 406 nt
Filed under: uncultured bacterium
Lineage: Bacteria
Description: partial 16S ribosomal RNA
Rfam family: Bacterial small subunit ribosomal RNA
Source: RNAcentral